Molecule: long non-coding RNA, 2571 nt
Filed under: Triticum aestivum (bread wheat)
Lineage: Eukaryota; Viridiplantae; Streptophyta; Magnoliopsida; Poales; Poaceae
Description: long non-coding RNA (TAES_LNC016837)
Source: RNAcentral
AUAUAUAUAUUGAUCACAGGUUCAAACUCAAGUCAAUCUUGACAAAGCAAAGUUUGGUCAUCUUGGCAAACAUCCAGAAAACACAAGUCACAUAAAAGGACCCUUAUUUGCUGGUCUAAAAGAGUUCAAACACUAAAUGGUCCAAACACUUAAGUCACAUCCACUGGAUUUCUACUCCAUAACACUUGAACACCAAAUGGUCCAUAACACACAUAAGAUUCAUGAUUACAAUUAAGUUGGCUGGUCCAAAAUACUGCACACAACCAAAUGCUCUAUAACACUCCAAAGUCAUCACAUCCAUGAAUACUAGGUGGCCGAUUACCUGAAAAUAUUACACAAGAAUUUGGUAGAAAGUGCAGUCAGCUCAAGUUCUUUGAAGCUCAUAGGGAGAUUGACAGCCAAGAGAAGCACAAGAGUAUUUAUGACAAAUGCCUAGAAUACACAUAAUAUAGUUCUGUCAUAUGUGAUAUAAAAUAUAUUUGAAAUGCUGAAAGGAAUCAUCAUGCAGAUAUAUCUACAUACACAUAGAGUAAGCAUUAAUUUCUCCAUGCCAGGCAUAUCCACAAAUUCUAUUCAACACCUUACAUGCAAGAAACUGUAGUAGUAUCAGCCAGUGUAAAGUUGUAUUUGUUCUAAUACGAGGAGUUAGCUCAAAUAUGGAGGUUAUGGGUCAAAUUCUCAUAUGUUCCAACUGAAUGGGACUGCAAACAUGUGAUUGUUACUCACGUGUACAUAUGAGGAAUAUGUGUGGGUGCCCCCUAACCAUUUUAUCUACUUCAAUGUUUGAAAAUAAUUGUGUUUGCAUGUUAUCUGAUGAAGUAGAAUUAAUAUGUACAACUAAUAUAAGAGCACCAAUAAAUAGGGUAUUAUGAAUUGAACACCAAUAAAUAAUAGAGGAUAUUAAAGUUCCUAAAUUAGUACUCCCUCCGUAAACUAAUAUAAGAGCGUUUAGAUCACUAAAAUAGUGAUCUAAACACUGUUAUAUUAGUUUACAUAGGGAGUACAUCGCACACUGUCAUAGUAAUGCUACAAAUACAUGUCGCGCAAACCUUUGUUACCUGUUGCCAUUGGCAUUGAAAAUAUUGACUGAAUUGAAGUAUUAUUUAGAAGACCACAUAUACAUAGAGUAAAUUGGAAAGAGGAAAUUCUCAUACAAGUAAAGAAAAUUAAACAACAUGGUUUACAUCGUAUUAUCCUUAAUAUCAAACUUACAAAUCUGAAUUAGAUGCAUCAUAAUAAUUGGAAAUAUUUAUCACAUCUGCCGAUAACUGAAAAACUCGAAGACAUUACUCAUUAAAGUUGUAGGUGCAAAACCAAAAUCUCAAAAACAAUAUUAACUCCCUUCACAAAUUACUUGUUUUAGAUAGUGUUAGAUUCAUCGGUAUCUAGACAAAUCUAAGACAUGACAGAGGGAGUACAAAAAAAUUAUUUAGACAACUACUGAAAAGUAAGGAUUAUAGAUUGUUUAUCAAAAGUUGUAGGACGAUGCAAACCCCACUAUGCAGACUCACCGGUUAAUAAAAGAAGAUAGAGAUACACACAUUCAUGCCCAGAUGUGAAGGGCAACACAGCAGUCUUGCUUGGAGCGCACCAAUCAAGCUAGCUUCAGCCGUCAGGCCUGUCUGCAACCAUAUGGGAACAAAGGAAAAAGUGAAGAUUCAAUGAUAAGCACCGGAGUCUAUGGAGAACUACUAAGGUAAGAAUAAAUUAAAUGGGUCUGGAUCUGUUAUCUCACUGUGCGCAAGCGCUUGCAUGUCAUCCUUUCCCACACACCAUCAAUCUGUUCUUUUUCCUCGCAAGGCAUGACGGACGCUCAUGAAAAAUUCAUAGAUUAUGGUAGAAAGAUUAGUUGAGCAAGAUUGAUUUAGUAGGAUCUUGGGUGGUGUCGCUUAAGCAGAGGAACUGGUCGAGCCUCAAGCAACAUAGCACACGGCCGGGGGAGAUUUUUACUGCUACGUAUGUACUGGUAGCGCACAUGGAGAAGGCGGGUUCAGGUUAUUUCCAAUUAGACCACUUUAUCCAAGGGCUACUAAUCUGUCCACCAUACUCUUAUGAAUUUUAUCCAAGGGCUACAAGAAAAGUGGUACUCUAGAUUUAUUACUAAUUCUAGCAAUAUCAUCUGUAUAGCUGUUACACAUGCAAUAUCUAGACCGAGAUUUCAGAAACUUGCAAGCUUAUAAUUCAGAAAUUUAAAGUAACCCAUCCCUGUAGCCAUCGAUCUGACCAAAAAAUUAGAAACUAAAAUAAAAUAAGGUUGGAUUGUGCACUUCUCUGUAGUACCACAGAUCCAACAAGUAACCUUCGUAAUGCCAGAUCCUAAUCUUAAACAAAGGGACUGACUAACUAAGCAGGGAUCAGUUUAGGUUCAGACUAACAACAUGUUCAAUCACUCCAACGUAGCUACCAACAAUACAGCUCACGGGUUGCAGCAAACUAGCAGGUCGAUCUAUGAGAGACACAAGAUGUUGUUCGUGUUUGGAAGAACAAUUGCGGAUGCCAUAAUCGGCCCUUUACCUAGCAAAGACCAGUUCCUCUAGCCUGCGUACAUGAAGGAGGGGGUAAGCACCGAAC